RNAcentral lists this ribosomal RNA (464 nucleotides) under Vreelandella stevensii. RNAcentral describes it as "partial 16S ribosomal RNA". It matches the Rfam family "Bacterial small subunit ribosomal RNA", at positions 338 to 795 of the family's 1533-position model. The record is from RNAcentral. Lineage: Bacteria; Pseudomonadati; Pseudomonadota; Gammaproteobacteria; Oceanospirillales; Halomonadaceae.
CCUACGGGCGGCAGCAGUGGGGAAUAUUGGACAAUGGGCGAAAGCCUGAUCCAGCCAUGCCGCGUGUGUGAAGAAGGCCUUCGGGUUGUAAAGCACUUUCAGUGGGGAAGAAAGCCUUGGGGCUAAUACCCUCGAGGAUGGACAUCACCCACAGAAGAAGCACCGGCUAACUCCGUGCCAGCAGCCGCGGUAAUACGGAGGGUGCGAGCGUUAAUCGGAAUUACUGGGCGUAAAGCGCGCGUAGGCGGUCUGAUAAGCCGGUUGUGAAAGCCCCGGGCUCAACCUGGGAACGGCAUCCGGAACUGUCAGGCUAGAGUGCAGGAGAGGAAGGUAGAAUUCCCGGUGUAGCGGUGAAAUGCGUAGAGAUCGGGAGGAAUACCAGUGGCGAAGGCGGCCUUCUGGACUGACACUGACGCUGAGGUGCGAAAGCGUGGGUAGCAAACAGGAUUAGAUACCUGGUAGUC